UAGAGAUGUCCUUCCUUGUUAUUGUGCUCAGAUAGGUACUUUCAGAAUCUGAGGGCAAUCUGACUGUGACAUCUGUCACCUCAUUGAUCACCAGGGUUGAUGUGGCCGAUCUGCAGCUAGGCGGGUAUCCCCCUUCCCCCUCACCACUGCACGUACAUCCCUCCUUGAGGUGAACGCUCAGUCGAAGAGGAAAAUCCGCCUGAUACAGGAGGACCACUCUUCAAUCUGAGAUGUUCAUCUUUCACAAAACUGUUCAAGCACUGCCUUUCCUGUGAAGCCUCACUGGGAUCCUCCAGAGGAAGUGGUAAACAAAUCCCUGCUGAGUGGUAAACAAACCUCGAGGCUAGGAGGACCUCUGGGAGUUGCAGCUGCCACAGUUAUAAAAAGAAGUCUAAACUCUUAAAGAGAUGAAGAACCUUUAAAGGAAGUGAAGAGCAAAGCAUUGAAGUUUUUCUGCAGUUUCACCAUUUGUACUAAAGAUGGCUGAAAAGAAGUCAAUAAGAGAGAAAGAUAGCUACAGGCAACAGAACAUGGAGAAGAACUAUUCAAAGCAAUGAUCUUCAAACAUCUUUUCUUUGAAAGAAAUAACAAAGCCGUAAGUCAA
Molecule: long non-coding RNA, 604 nt
Organism: Cervus elaphus (red deer)
Lineage: Eukaryota; Metazoa; Chordata; Mammalia; Artiodactyla; Cervidae
Exons: 3
Source: RefSeq, a predicted model, not a curated record